UAUGAAUUGCCUGAUUAAAGGGGUAUCUUGAUAGGGUAAGUUAAGUAUAUAGUGUAUAUUCAUAA
Molecule: transfer RNA, 65 nt
Filed under: Ceraphronidae sp. ZJUH_2016007
Lineage: Eukaryota; Metazoa; Arthropoda; Insecta; Hymenoptera; Ceraphronidae
Description: tRNA-Ile
Source: RNAcentral